This 6360-nucleotide long non-coding RNA is filed under the name Homo sapiens (human). RNAcentral's name for it is "HSALNT0390780". The record is from RNAcentral. Lineage: Eukaryota; Metazoa; Chordata; Mammalia; Primates; Hominidae.
AGACAGUGUCUUGCACUGUCACCUGGGCUGGAGUGCAGUGGCGCAGUCUCGGCUCACUGCAACCUCCACCUCCUGGGUUCAAGCGAUUCUCCUGCCUCAGCCUCCCAAGUAGCAGGGAUUACAGGCACCUGCCACCACACCUAGCUAAUUUUUUGUAUUUUUAGUAGAGACAGGGUUUCACUAUGUUGGCCAGGCUGGUCUCAAACUCCUGACCUCGUGAUCUGCCCGCUUCGGCCUCCCAAAGUGCUGGGAUUACAGGCAUAAGCCACCGCGCCCGGCUCCCCAAAGUCUUAUGUUUUAAACUUUUUGACAUUUCUUCUAAGAUGUCCAGAAUGCUAGUACCUGCACCUUAAUAAAUGUUUGUGAAUAAAUACAUUAUUGAAAUCUUAGGCAGGUGUGCCACAUAGCUUAAAUCUGAGACACUGUGUUCUUUAGUCAGAUCAUGCAUAUUCUUAGAAUAGUAACCUCAAAGGUUUAUACCCUUGCUACCUUUUUUAUAUUUUUUGUAGAGACAGGGUCUUGCUCUGUUUCUCAGACUUUUUGAACUCCUGGGCUUAAGCAGGCCUCCCACCUUGGCUUCCUAAAGUGCUGGGAUUACAGAUAUGAGCCACUGCGCCCAGUCCUGAUACUGUGGCUCAUUUUAAUUCUCACGUAGUAUUUAGUUUCAUUUUGCAGUUUGAAGAAAUAGGCCCAGAGAUGUUAAAGGGGCAGGCCCAGAACUUGAAUCCAGAUCUUGUGGUGAGAAAUUCUUGUUUUACUAUCACGUUGCUUUUUAAAGCCAGCCUGCUUUUUCCAGUUGGGAGGCCUCGGGGAGAAAAGUCUGACCCAAGUGAGAAACACCUGUAAUAUCUACCAGAUGCCAGCAGGGUGUCCCAUGGUGCUGUCUUUGAUCCAUGUUCUUACCCUGUGUGCUGAGGGUUGUUCUAGAGUAGGACUACAUCUAGUCACAGUGGCCAUGUUCCAGAGCCUGGCAGCAAGAAAGAGGGAUGCCUAGCUCCUUGGCUUUCCAGUGUGCAGUGCACAGCCAGCUCUCUCAGAGAAGCCCUGGCCCUCUUUUGACCCCUACUAUUGAGGCUGGCCCCACAGGAGGACAGCUGGUCACACAGUGGCUGGGGCCUGGCUAGCCACUCAAUAACUACACAGCAGCCCCACAAAAAAAUCAUAGAAAAGAACCUGUGAAAGGGUAAAUGUUUAAAACAUCUGCAUUUGUGUUGAUAGCUGAGUAUACACUUAAAUUUGUAUUAGUAACAGAUCCACAAAAAUGAACCACUCUAGGAAUUUUAAGUUUUAAAAGCCAAUGUGUGGUAACUUCCAGUUUCCAAUAAAAAUGUUUGCAUUACACUUAGCCUACACAUACUAUCUCUUAGGUAUCAGUUUUUGUAUUCAGCAACCCUAGUUGGUAAUCUACAGUGUCAAAACUAUCACUUAUAUGAAAACAAAUGAGCAAAUAGCCCUUUAAAAAUUUCCUUUCCCAGUGCUCGUUACGCACUUUGUACAAAUGUCUGUAACUGUUUUAUAAUUAUUUCUUUGCAAGGCUUGGUUUCUUCAGUAGAGAAGAUUCUUAGAAGUAUCCCCAGUGACAGUACAGCUCCUGGCAUUUAGUAGGUGCUCAGUAAUUAUUUUACUGAAAUACUCAUGCUUCCAUAAUAGUUCUGGGAUAAUUCUAAACACAAGCCAUUUUUCUAAGGAGAGUCCACAUUAGAGAGGUCUUUGUUUUGUAUUCAAGAUGAUUAAAAUUAUGAACUGGGAAGUUAGUCCCUGGGGUGUCCUGGCUGGCCUUUGGAAAUCUUCACUACAUCUUUCUGGGUUGGAAUUCUCACCACAGCCUGAACGUGGGGCUGUAUCUGAGCUGUCUCUGAGUGCUGUCCAUUUGAUAUAUCGAGUACUGGGUGUUUACCAGGGCUCUUCAAGCCACUGGGAGAAACAGCUAAAGAGUAACCUACUGAUUUGAGAUGUGGAUUUGUGCCCCAUCCCUUUCUCCUUGUUUCCCACAGGAGUUUUAUCUCAAACUCCUAAGCCAUUUUUAAGGAGAUCACUGGAACAAACUCCAAACCUACCCUCUAAUAGUCAAGUUUACCUGAAUUUUCUCAGUUCUCUCGGGAGAAGACUAAUCACACAUUGUAGUACCAACUUGGACUCUUCAUGUGCUUUUCUUAACUGAUUAGAGUUAACACCUCAGCUAAAGUGUAUAGAACAUACAUGGGGCUUCAUCAGGCUUCAGAAUCAGUUUCACUAGAUGUGCUAUGUAGGAGGCCACGGAAAAAUUACUGUAGUAGUAAAAGUUAUCAGUUCUGAUGUAAACAAUCAUUUUGUCCCAUAUUAUAAAUAAAUUGGCCUGAAAAUAUCUUUUCAUAUGUGAGGAAUAAGUAUAUGAUGCCUUUCUCCUUUAAAGUAUGAACUGCUAAAAGACAGGGAUAACGUGUAUUCUGUAUUCCAGCAGCCACAGUGUGUUUCUGGUCUUUGUACCAGGUGCUCAGGAAGUGUUUUCACUGGCUUGGGUUGACUACUUGCCAUCUGCUCUCUGAGCAUUCAUUUCUGAAUGAAAGGGGAGAAAGUGAAAGGAGAGGUGGGAAGAAAGAGGAAGCUGCAGAAAUACGAGGAAACAGCUGGAGGAGGGAGGUGAAGUUGAGGAGGUAAGGUCAGUAAAACAAAAAGCUAGCAGAGGGCAGGGUCAGGCCCUUGGGGUAGAGGGCUAAUUAACUUCUGUCAGCUAGUUGAAUAGAGCCUUGUGUGCUUUGUUAGAGACCAAAGGUACUUCAAAGGAAAAAAAUCUAGAUUCUUCCCUGUGUACCUUAAUAAUUGUUCAUCAGGUCAAAAUCUAUCCUGUCCUCUAGGAAUUCUGGUCUUCCCUCAGGCCUAGCAGAGAGCUUUCUGCCACUACUCAGGCAACCAAGGGUGAAGUGCUUCAAGUAGUAUUUGUGGACAGCAGCAGGUAAGCUUGAUGUGUUAUUCACAGCUUAAAGAGUAGAUGCUGAGUACAGCUGUUGUCCAUGUGUAGAGCUUUUAAUAACCAGCGCAGCAGGCCCCUUCACCUGCUUUUAUGCCUGGACCAGAUGACUGAAUGUAGAACUUUAGGCACUUUUUUUUUUUUUUGAGACGGAGUCUCGGUUUGUUGCCCAGGCUGGAGUGCAGUGGCGCAAUCUCGGCUCACUGCAAGCUCUGCCCCCCGGGUUCACGCCAUUCUCUUGCCUCAGCCUCCCAAGUAGCUGGGACUACAGACUCCCACCACCAUGCCCGGCUAAUUUUUAUAUUUUUUAGUAGAGACAGGGUUUCACCGUGUUAGCCAGGAUGGUCUCAAUCUCCUGACCUGGUGAUCCACCUGCCUUGGCCUCCCAAAGUGCUGGGAUUACAGGUGUGAGCCACCAGAUCGGCCCUUUAGGCACUUUCUACUUCUCAAGGUCAAGAAACAUCCUUUAAAAAGUUAAUUCCCUUUUCUGGAGCCUAAGCCAGAUCUUAUCUAGGCCUUGUGUUGCCAUCUGUUAGCAUUGAUUUCUGGAAUGGAGCAGCUUUCUCAAAGUUUGGUCUUGCUAGUCAUGAGGUCAUGUCAGUGUCUUAGGUCACUGCUGCUCACCUUCCUUACCCAGGGAGUAUACUGCAUAGGUUUCUGAACACCUGUUUUCAUUAUUCACUGUUCCUCUCACUGCCAAGAAUGGAGGGACCCUCAGUUGAAGAUCAAAUUGACUCUGAAGAAAAACUGGAGAUGUUUCUCUUGGAGUUUGGAUAGAGUAUUCACUUGAUAACAUGUUUUUCCCCUGCCUUGCUCUUCACAAGAACAUCUGGCCAGGCAUUAACAAUUAGUAAAUUUUUUUGCAUAUGAACAGUAUUUUUCUGGUCAUGUAGAUGGGUGCACAUGACACUAAACAGCAUUGUUUAGUGUUAUCCCUCUUAACUGGUGGGUUGUAUUUGGGGUGGAGGCUGUAGCCGAGGAGAAGACAUUCACCUCUGUACUCGAGAAACUUUGUGUAGGAAUUUAGUUUAUUUUUUUAUUUUUUUUAAUUUUUUAUUUUUUACUACUUUUACUGUUAGCACAAUGCUAUAAUUGAGCUAAUCUUUGUAGUUUGGUGCAGGACCACCAAGUUUGUGUGACCCAUUACCUACUUUUUCCAUGCUCAGCCAUUACCCUGUCCUGGGGCAUCUGAGGGCAGUAAGGAACAGGUGUCCAAAGGAGGAAUGUUGGUGCCUAUGAGUAUGUUUUCCAGUUGUAUUGAAUUUCUUACUUGGUGUAUUUUUGACUUGUCUUAGUUUCUUUCCUUGUGGUCUAUGCUAUUUUACUUGCGAUUUGUUGGAUAUUCUCCCUGUCAUUAAAGAGUUGUAAAAUGGAAGUUAGUUUCUCUAUGCAAAUGCUUUAAUGGAUGAAGCUGAUAGGUUUAGCAUUGAUUUUUGCUGGUGUCCUUCAACAAGCAUGAAGGUGAUAAAUGUGUUUCCAUGGCUUUAGACUCAUUUUUGAAGUCUUGGAUUGUGUGAACAUUCUUAGAAACAAUAAAAUGUUUUAAUUAAAAGCCCUCGACUACCAGCUGAAUUCAGUGUCUACUAGGAAAAUGGGUAGAUUUGUUACAUUGUCCCUUUGCUCUCUAUGACUUUGUUCCAGUUGUCAAGGAACUUAAAUGGGUAUUCAGGAAAAAGAAUUCUUGUUUCCCUUUCCUCACCUUGCCAGUUAAAUAACUCCUGGUGACACUUCAGGUGGUAGAAUUGAAACACAAACCUGACUUCUGACCACAUGGGUCAAAGGCAAAAGGCAAAUGGCUUCAAAGCCCUUAGUGUGCUUAUCCAGUUCAGGCAGUGAGGAGAUAACCUCUGCUUUCCUCCCUGAGGAGUUUGGAGUAUUUAAGGGGGGAUGGGGGGGGUGUCACUUUGAAAAUAUGUUGCUUUUUCUCCUGAUUGUAUUGAGGCUGAUAUGGAAGGGUUAUUUCUUUCUGGCCAAUACUUUUUGGUAUUUCUAAAUAUUGCAAUCUUGAUUUUUACUAUUAAAUUUGUUAAUUGUCAGUUCUGGCUUUUUUGCAUAAAGAGUUGGUCCAUUAACUUGCCAAUUUGAAGCUUCUAACUAGAUAUUCCCUACUGAAAGUUUUGGAUUUGUUUUUAGUUUGUGGAGCAGUCUUAGCUGGGGACAGGUAAUUGACAACGGCAGAGAUACUUUCUUUUCCUAGGAUUCUAAGUCUGUAAUCCACAUCCUCAAUGUAUUCACAGGACUUUAAAAUUCUCUCCAAAUGAGGAAGGAAAUAUCCUGUUGCUUUCUAAUGUUUACUAAAAGUUGUGUUUAGAACAACAGAUUUUAAUAGGCAUCUUCCUUUGUUAUGUGUCAUUAGCCCUUUGCCCGUUUACCUUAGGGCUCUUUGAAGGAGAAAUGGAUGGGAGAAAACCUGUCACUUGGCGAAAGUAAAAGGGAUAAUUAACUGGCUCAGAGCUUAUGUGCAGAGUUCCAAGCCCCAAAGUUAAUCUAGAACCACUCGAUAACACCAAUAAAAAUAUUUAUUUCACAUCUGUUAUAUAUCUGGAAAAUGUUCUAAGCAUCUUACACAUAUUUCUCAUUAAAUCCACAGGUGACCAUUGUGAGGUAGAUAUUUUGUUCUAAUUUUCCAGAUGAGGAAGCUGAGACCCUAAAAGGCUGACCGGUUCCCUGAUGUGUUACCUGCUUCUGCUACUGAUCCAAACUGCAGAACUUCUCAUUCAUCCCCAAGGCCUCCAGGCAGUAUCCAAUGGGGAAUCAGCUCUAAAAGGAACCAGACCAACGUUUUCCAGCCCCUUCAUUCUGGUGACUGAGGGGAGGAAAGAAUGGGAGGGGGUAUUCUUGUCUAGUGGAUGGAAAGGAAACACACUGUCAAAUUACUAUAUCUCCUUGGUUUUCUAUUACAGUAGAAUUCUCCAGCCAUAUUUUUAUUGUCUAUGGGGGAAGUUGGAGAUGGUGACCUUGAUUAGAAGUGUCUGGAGGGGGAUAAAUGGAGGGGAUAAGAUUCAGUUGGUUUUGGAAAAUGUUAAAGUCUUAAAAUAAUGCGUCCAUCUGAAGAAUUUUUUCUAAAACCAGAGUUUAUAAAAAUAUCACUGAUACAGCCUGCCCCCUCAUUUCCCUGCCACAGGAGAUGUCUUGGACUAGAGACACUUGUUUAAUAAUAGCUUGUCUCUGAUAUUCCCAGUAGCUUCCCUCUGUGUGAGGAAAGGAUAGAAAUGUUCAGGACAUCAUCAUACAGGCUCCUCAUCUACAAAGUUCCAGUAGCAGUGACGCCUACACGGAAGACUUGGAACUGCAAACAGGCUGGGGUCACCUCAGUGACAUCUGACGCUGUCCAACCAGAAGUUCGAUUUUUGUUCUGGGGGUGAAGGAGGAAACAGACUGUACUAAAGGACUAAAAUAAUUUGUCUAUACUA